AGUGAACGCUGGCGGUAGGCCUAACACAUGCAAGUCGAACGGCAGCACAGUAAGAGCUUGCUCUUACGGGUGGCGAGUGGCGGACGGGUGAGGAAUACAUCGGAAUCUACUUUUUCGUGGGGGAUAACGUAGGGAAACUUACGCUAAUACAGCAUACGACCUACGGGUGAAAGCAGGGGAUCUUCGGACCUUGCGCGAUUGAAUGAGCCGAUGUCGGAUUAGCUAGUUGGCGGGGUAAAGGCCCACCAAGGCGACGAUCCGUAGCUGGUCUGAGAGGAUGGUCAGCCACACUGGAACUGAGACACGGUCCAGACUCCUACGGGAGGCAGCAGUGGGGAAUAUUGGACAAUGGGCGCAAGCCUGAUCCAGCCAUACCGCGUGGGUGAAGAAGGCCUUCGGGUUGUAAAGCCCUUUUGUUGGGAAAGAAAAGCGGCAGGUUAAUACCCCGCUGUUCUGACGGUACCCAAAGAAUAAGCACCGGCUAACUUCGUG
RNAcentral lists this ribosomal RNA (492 nucleotides) under uncultured bacterium. Its description in RNAcentral is "partial 16S ribosomal RNA". It matches the Rfam family "Bacterial small subunit ribosomal RNA", at positions 29 to 507 of the family's 1533-position model. The record is from RNAcentral.